This 405-nucleotide unclassified non-coding RNA is filed under the name Hevea brasiliensis (rubber tree). Lineage: Eukaryota; Viridiplantae; Streptophyta; Magnoliopsida; Malpighiales; Euphorbiaceae. The record is from RNAcentral.
GUUUAGAAUUUUUUUGGGACAUUAGGCCAAAUUUAAAUAAUAGUGCAGUCACAUGGAAUGAAUUCACGCAAGGAAGUGUUUCUACAAUGUUAAGGUUGUCUUUACCUCGAAAGUGGACAAUAUUUCAUCUUUAUUUUCCAACCUAUUUUACCAUAGAGAAAUGCAGAAGACAUGCUUACCUAUUAAACUAGAAAAUUAUACAGCUGCAAAUUUGACAUAUACAUGUUCUCCGGUUUCUAGAAAAUUUUUCAUAUUUAGAAAUUUUAAUAUAAGGCUUUAAAAUUUAUGAAGCAAUUUCCCAAAUUCUAUUUAAAAUUUAAAAAUGGAAACCCAAUUUUCCAAAACAAGUUUCUUUUUUUUACCGAUAAUUAAUUUUCUAGCAAUGUUCCAUGCAUGAGAUUUUUU